CUAAGGCCAACGGGAGAAGGGUUGUUAAGGAACUCGGCAAAUUGACCCCGUAACUUCGGGAGAAGGGGUGCUCCAGAGAUGGAGCCGCAGAGAAUCGGCCCAAGCAACUGUUUACCAAAAACACAGGUUUGUGCUAAAUCGAAAGAUGACGUAUACGAGCUGACGCCUGCCCGGUGCUGGAAGGUUAAGAGGAGAUGUGCAAGCAUUGAAUCGAAGCCCCAGUGAACGGCGGCCGUAACUAUAACGGUCCUAAGGUAGCGAAAUUCCUUGUCAGGUAAGUUCUGACCCGCAUGAAAGGCGUAAUGAUUUGGGCACUGUCUCAACAGCCCGCCCGGCGAAAUUGUAGUACCGGUGAAGAUGCCGGUUACCCGCGACAAGACGGAAAGACCCCAUGGAGCUUUACUGUAGCCUAAUAUUGGGUUUCGAUGUUGCAUGCACAGGAUAGAUGGGACACAGGGAAACAAGUGCUUUGGCAUUUGUGGAGUGGCCGUUGGGAUACCAUCCUUGCGAUAUUGGAAUUCUAACCUGCGCCUUUGAAUCAAGGCGGGGGACAUUGUUAGGUGGGCAGUUUGACUGGGGCGGUCGCCUCCUAAAGAGUAACGGAGGCGUUCAAAGGUUCGCUCAGCUUGAACGGAAAUCAAGCAAAAGAGUGCAAACGCAGAAGCGAGCCUAACUGCGAGACUGACGGGUCGAGCAGUAACGAAAGUUGGAGUUAGUGAUCCGGUGGUAUGUGAGUGGAAAUGCCAUCGCUCAACGGAUAAAAGUUACCCUGGGGAUAACAGGCUGAUCUCCCCCAAGAGUCCACAUCGACGGGGAGGUUUGGCACCUCGAUGUCGGCUCAUCGCAUCCUGGGGCUGUAUUCGGUCCCAAGGGUUUGGCUGUUCGCCAAUUAAAGCGGUACGCGAGCUGGGUUCAGAACGUCGUGAGACAGUUCGGUCCCUAUCUGUCGUGGGCGCAGGAUAUUUGAUGGGAGCUGUUCCUAGUACGAGAGGACCGGAGCGGACGUACCUCUGGCGCACCAGUUGUUCUGCCAAGAGCAUAGCUGGGCAACUAUGUACGGAUCGGAUAAACGCUGAAAGCAUCUAAGCGUGAAGCCGACCCAAAGAUAAGAUAUCCCAUUGUUUCAAACAAGUAAGACCCCUUGAAGACUACAAGGUUGAUAGGCACGAUGUGUAAGUGGAGUGAUCCAUUCAGCAAGCGUGUACUAAUAGGUCGAGGGCUUGACCAC
RNAcentral lists this ribosomal RNA (1228 nucleotides) under human gut metagenome. RNAcentral describes it as "bacterial LSU rRNA". It matches the Rfam family "Bacterial large subunit ribosomal RNA", at positions 1681 to 2925 of the family's 2925-position model. The record is from RNAcentral.